AAUACAGGAGUGUUUAUGGUUGGGUUGAGACACAUUCAGUAGCUGAGUGAUUGACAGCAAGAGGAGCAAGACAUGAGGUAGAUUUGUAUUAUAUUCUCAGUGAAACGGGAUAGCUUUAGAAGCUUUUUAAUAAAAAGGAUAUAUGAUCUAAAUUUCCUACUGUUAAUAAUUAUCAAAUAUAUGGCAAUGCUGGACUUUAGCUGAUCAUCGUGCUUCUGGAAAACAACAAAAAUUGAGAUAUCUGUUCACCACUUUGUGUGUCCAAGGACCACCUACUUUUUACAUGUGACAAGAACUACCCACCUCCACUCUUCAGGAUAGAACAUGCUGAAGAAAAGAGUUGCAAUGAGAAAAUAUAUGGGAACAAAAUACCUAUGCAAUGCAGAAGUCUGCAUAACUGAACCACUCAGAGGAAAAAGAUUGCCAUUUCAGGACACCUCCUACAUCUGAGGAAAUAUGCAUUGAUCUUGCAGUACUUUUCUCCUCCAAAUAAAAGUCAGUAUGAUAACAACUACACUAUCAGAAGUCUAAGCCAAAGGACACUUCAGUUAUCCAAUCUUGCAACAAAUACAUUUAAGCACUUAAUAUGGGCUACUGUUGGUACUAGGGGCAUUGAGAACUUCAGAUUUGAUUAACACCCAAGAGCUGCUACCAUAAAAUAAACUAGGCAGCUACUAGGCAAUAAGAUGAGGCACAUGUGUAAAACUUCUGCUUUUAGCUUGGUGAAGAGUGGUUACACAGCCAUUAUUACAAAAAUUACAUUUUUCCACAAAUAAAGACAUCACUUUUCUAGA
Molecule: long non-coding RNA, 794 nt
Organism: Homo sapiens (human)
Lineage: Eukaryota; Metazoa; Chordata; Mammalia; Primates; Hominidae
Product: long intergenic non-protein coding RNA 1676
Source: Ensembl